GGAAGGAUAGUCCAGUGAUUAGGGUGCAAGCCUGGGACGCUGGAGACAAGGGUUCAACUCCCUGCUCUACCA
This 72-nucleotide transfer RNA is filed under the name Chelonia mydas (Green sea turtle). It matches the Rfam family "tRNA". From Rfam's summary of the family: Transfer RNA (tRNA) molecules are approximately 80 nucleotides in length. The record is from Rfam by way of RNAcentral. Lineage: Eukaryota; Metazoa; Chordata; Testudines; Cheloniidae.